UUCACUGUCUUUCUUAAGGUACUU
RNAcentral lists this microRNA (24 nucleotides) under Bombyx mori (domestic silkworm). RNAcentral's name for it is "bmo-miR-3212". The record is from miRBase by way of RNAcentral. Lineage: Eukaryota; Metazoa; Arthropoda; Insecta; Lepidoptera; Bombycidae.